UUAAGUUCAGCGGGUAUCCCUACCUGAUCCGAGGUCAAAGUGAUAGAAUGGCUUGCUGGAAGGAGGCAGGCUGGAGCCGCGACGCAAUGUGCUGCGCACGAAGCCAACUUGCCGGCUGCCAAUGAAUUUGAGGCGAGUCCACACACAGAGGUGGGACAAACACCCAACACAAGCAGAGCUUGAAGGUUUAAAUGACGCUC
This 200-nucleotide unclassified non-coding RNA is filed under the name Phragmocephala sp. RNAcentral's name for it is "partial internal transcribed spacer 2". The record is from RNAcentral. Lineage: Eukaryota; Fungi; Ascomycota; Dothideomycetes; Pleosporales; Melanommataceae.